AUGAAGUGGGCACACACUCUCACAGGGAUUUUAAUUGGCUGCUUUGUUUUGGACAUGCUGCCUUUGUCAUGUUCGUUUCCUGAUGCUGAUUUUGGUUUUGGUUUGGAAAUUGAAGGCCCCAAGAUUGUUAAGGUCAUACACAGAUUUACAGGGAAAAGGUACAGCAUCACAUGUAGCGUGUUACCAGGGCAACUUAAAGAUGAGACCCUUGUAUACUGGUUGGGCAAUGACCAGUUUCUGAAGGAUGGCAGACUUGCAUUUAAAGAGAAGCGCUCAAAUGGGUACAUCUCAAGCAAACUGAUAUUUAAAGAAGUUCUACCAGAAGACUGUGCCACCAUUUUUACCUGUAUAGCACUAAACCCAGCUGGUUGGGACAGGAACAACACAACAUUGUGCAAAUGUGCAGACAACAGAAUGGCAGCGUGAUGCGUGGCCCAUCUUCAGACAAGGCCUUCUGCUUGCUGAUUGACUGAUGCCUUUUGACUGAUACAAUAUUUGUUUGUAAUAUGGAUGUAUAAAGCAGCUACAGCAGCUAAUGGCCUCGUGGUGCAUCUGUGCUGCAGCAUUAGCACACUGGCUACCAGCUUUGUUCAACGUUGCUACCUCACUACUAGUACAUUGGCCACUGGCCUUGUCUAGCAUCGCUACCUCAGCAUGUUCAUGAUUUUGCGACGGUAUAAUCAUCUUUUAUGCCAGGAUCAGUAUACACAAUGAUUUCGUCUUUUUUAUAUGUUCACUAUGUCAAAUUAGACAUUUAAUAGAGUAGUAAAGAAGUAUUGAAUGUAUAAAAGACAAUUUACAGUCACAAAAAUCAGGAGCAAUCUCCUAUGAAAUGGCUAUGUACUAGAUGGAAUUUUGAGAAAUGAAUAUUAUAUGCAGACUAUGGCAGUCUGGCAAAACUAGGCUUGUCUGAUCUUUUUUUUUUUUUUUUUUUUUUUUUUUUUAAUACUUCAAAGCUCCUUUGAGGCAGUGUUCUAUAUACAAAGGAGUUCAGUAAUGAAGGGAACCUUACAGAGAUGUUGUUACUAUUUAAACCAGAAUAUAUAUAUAUAUAUAUAUAUAUAUAUAUACAUGUGUGUGUGUGUGUAUAUAUAUAUAUAUAUAUAUAUAUAUAUAUAUAUAAACAGAAAUUUGCACUUCUCUACUGAAUACAGUGGAAGUUUUAGAAGGAUUUUAUAUUUUAAGUACCAGAUGUUUCAGUGUUCAUUCCUGCAUGUGUGAGCCAGUUAUAUGUGUCAGGGGGAAUGCUCUUAGCAAAUAAGCUUAAUGUUGAGCAGUCUUGAAUUUUUAUGUGUGUGUUUUGUUUUUUUUGUUAUGUCAUUCAAAUAGUAGGCUUCAUGCAUUUCAUUGCUUUAAAUUGUAAAAUGUAUGCUAAUUUAAAAAUAAAUAAAAAUAAAUUAUUGAAUUAGCC
This 1411-nucleotide long non-coding RNA is filed under the name Astyanax mexicanus (Mexican tetra). RNAcentral describes it as "lncRNA (ENSAMXG00005021326.1)". The record is from RNAcentral. Lineage: Eukaryota; Metazoa; Chordata; Actinopteri; Characiformes; Acestrorhamphidae.